Molecule: small RNA, 486 nt
Filed under: Oryza sativa Japonica Group (Japanese rice)
Lineage: Eukaryota; Viridiplantae; Streptophyta; Magnoliopsida; Poales; Poaceae
Description: sRNA Os06g0676900
Source: RNAcentral
UAGCUUUGGGUUUUUAUUUAUUUUUUAUUUAAAUUUUUUUUGGAUGCUGAGUUCAUCUGUUUGCUUGGCUAGUAGUUGGCUUUGCUUUCUUUUUCUUUUUUAGUUUUAGCGCGAGCGGCGCCGGCACAUCGGGUUUUGGUUGCCUGCCGGCGCCGCCGGGCGCUCGCGCUCCCGGCCCGCGCCGCCGCCGCGGGCGUCGCCGGCGGCCGGGAAGAAAGAGGAGAGUGGCCGAGUGAGAUUGUCAGGAGAGGCUUGUCUAGCUAAGUUAGGAAAGAAGAAGAAGAAGAAUGCCGCGUGACGUGGCAAGAGUGACGUGUGCCACUGCAGCUGAAGCUUUACAGCGUGUGUAUGUACAAUUGUACUGGCUACUGUAGGUGGGUUGCUUGCAAUGUAAUGCGAUCAGUGUGGGCGUUUUGCUGAUGUAAAUUUGUAACUGUCCGUGCAAAUUUGCCAGGGAUCAGUUGAGAUUUCAGAAAAUUUCAGAAC